Molecule: non-coding RNA, 222 nt
Filed under: Alkaliphilus metalliredigens
Lineage: Bacteria; Bacillati; Bacillota; Clostridia; Peptostreptococcales; Natronincolaceae
Description: T-box sequence
Rfam family: T-box leader
About the family: Uncharged tRNA acts as the effector for transcription antitermination of genes in the T-box leader family. T-boxes are found upstream of many aminoacyl-tRNA synthetase genes and some amino acid biosynthetic genes usually in Gram-positive bacteria. The anticodon of a specific tRNA base pairs to a specifier sequence within the T-box motif, and the NCCA acceptor tail of the tRNA base pairs to a conserved bulge in the T-box antiterminator hairpin.
Source: RNAcentral
AAUCAAACGAUGAAAGAACUCAGUAGUCCCCAUGGUUACAAUUUAGAGAGCAAUCCGGUUGGUGAAAGGUUUGCAGCACAUGGCAGGAUGAAUUACACUCUGGAGUUUCGAAGUGAAAGCUUCGACGGUUACCAGCCGUUAUUGGUUUAAGACAUUGUGUUUUGAGCCCCACAUAGACAUGAUGUAAAUUAAGGUGGUACCACGGGUCCUCUCGUCCUUAGC